RNAcentral lists this ribosomal RNA (495 nucleotides) under uncultured Sphingobacteriales bacterium. RNAcentral describes it as "bacterial SSU rRNA". It matches the Rfam family "Bacterial small subunit ribosomal RNA", at positions 903 to 1382 of the family's 1533-position model. The record is from RNAcentral. Lineage: Bacteria; Pseudomonadati; Bacteroidota; Sphingobacteriia; Sphingobacteriales.
CCCGCUCAGAAACUACAAAGGAAGUUGACGGGGGCCCGCACAAGCGGUGGAGCAUGUGGUUUAAUUCGAUGAUACGCGAGGAACCUUACCUGGGCUCAAAUGUAUGUUGACGUAUUCUGAAAGGGAUACUUCUUCGGACAAUAUACAAGGUGCUGCAUGGUUGUCGUCAGCUCGUGCCGUGAGGUGUCGGGUUAAGUCCCAUAACGAGCGCAACCCCUAUCAUUAGUUGCCAUCAGGUCAAGCUGGGGACUCUAAUGAAACUGCCUACGCAAGUAGUGAGGAAGGUGGGGAUGACGUCAAAUCAGCACGGCCCUUACGUCCAGGGCUACACACGUGCUACAAUGGCCGGUACAAAGGGCAGCUACCUGGUGACAGGAUGCUAAUCUCAAAAGCCGGUCUCAGUUCGGAUCGGAGUCUGCAACCCGACUUCCGUGAAGCUGGAAUCGCUAGUAAUCGCGCAUCAGCCAUGGCGCGGUGAAUACGUUCCCGGGCCUU